GACGAACUGUGCGAACGUUAUUCGGAAUCACUGGGCUUACAGGGUGCGUAGGCGGCUUGUUAAGUAGGGUGUGAAAUCCCCCGGCCCAACCGGGGAAUGGCGCUCUAAACUAGCAGGCUUGAGUGAGCUAGGGGUACACGGAACUUCCAGUGGAGCGGUGAAAUGUGUUGAUAUUGGAAGGAACACCGGAGGCGAAAGCGGUGUACUGGGGCUCAACUGACGCUGAGGCACGAAAGCCAGGGGAGCGAACGGG
RNAcentral lists this ribosomal RNA (253 nucleotides) under uncultured bacterium. RNAcentral's name for it is "partial 16S ribosomal RNA". It matches the Rfam family "Bacterial small subunit ribosomal RNA", at positions 524 to 776 of the family's 1533-position model. The record is from RNAcentral.